This 45-nucleotide non-coding RNA is filed under the name Schistosoma mattheei. The record is from RNAcentral. Lineage: Eukaryota; Metazoa; Platyhelminthes; Trematoda; Strigeidida; Schistosomatidae.
AUCCAGUUGACGUGUCCGAAAUAGGACGAAACGCGCGUCUUGAAU